This 991-nucleotide long non-coding RNA is filed under the name Elaeis guineensis (African oil palm). Its description in RNAcentral is "long non-coding RNA (EGUI_LNC023618)". The record is from RNAcentral. Lineage: Eukaryota; Viridiplantae; Streptophyta; Magnoliopsida; Arecales; Arecaceae.
UUCAUUCUACUCUCCACUCACAAACUCUCACUUCUUGUUUUUUAUUUCUCCAUUUUUACUGUAUGUUCUCAAAGUCCCGGCUGACUUAAGCAUUGGAGGGUCCUAAACCAAAGGGCAUCCCAUAAUUUUGGGACUUUUUUUGUAAAUUUUGCUCAUGGUUCACGUCGACGCAACUCUUAGCUCUCCAGCUCAAUUUACUGCCGACCUCACCUUUGAAGCCCUGCAGCAACAGAUUGGUCCUAGAGAAAGAGGAUCUAAAAAUUAUUAGUAAAAAAUAAUGAACAAGAAAAUACCAAUUUAUCCUUUAUCGACCUCAUCUUCUCUUGAAAAUGCUUAGGAGAUCAUCCAACUACCAGUCAGUGUUGAUCCUUAGCAAUUCAACCUUCUAGUUUAACAAGUUCAAGCCCUCACUGCUGACGUACAAUAGCUCCAACAUACCACAGAGCAGCAACAAUCAAUAUAAUGUCAAACUUUGGUGGAGAUUGAGGGGCAGAUGAUAGUUUUUUUUCGAAAAGACAGCGCACUGACAAUGAGCUUUCAAUAAAAUUUUCUUCAAUAUCUUAAUUCUUAUCUAUAGGAGAUCAAAUCUCUACAAUUAAGUUGAAACAUCUUUUAUCCGAAUGAGAUCAUGAAGUCUAAUCAAAUAAGAAUAAGAAAGUCUAUCCAAACGAGAUAUUUGUUUGAGGAAACUCAAGUUUCGACUUGAGAUUUUAAGACAAUAUACUCUUAAAAGGGAAGAAAAUGAAAUAUCUCAAUAUGAAACUUACCUGAUAUAUAAGAGACCCAAUCUGCCCAUGACGACAUCGCAUAGAAGUAUUUCUUAAAUCUCUAUUAUAUUCAAUUUAUUAAGAUUAGUUUGUUCUCAAUUAAUCGAUCUAAUUCUUAAAAUCAUAUUAUUUUUAAUAUUUAAAGUUACUUAUUAUAAUUAAGCUAUAUAGGCUUCAUAAUUGAUUCAAUCCAGAUCAGAUAAUAUUCAUGUUAUAAGGAGACA